This 497-nucleotide ribosomal RNA is filed under the name uncultured bacterium. RNAcentral's name for it is "partial 16S ribosomal RNA". It matches the Rfam family "Bacterial small subunit ribosomal RNA", at positions 28 to 507 of the family's 1533-position model. The record is from RNAcentral.
GAUGAACGCUGGCGGCGUGCCUAAUACAUGCAAGUCGAGCGAACAGACGAGGAGCUUGCUCCUCUGACGUUAGCGGCGGACGGGUGAGUAACACGUGGAUAACCUACCUAUAAGACUGGGAUAACUUCGGGAAACCGGAGCUAAUACCGGAUAAUAUAUUGAACCGCAUGGUUCAAUAGUGAAAGACGGUUUUGCUGUCAAUUAUAGAUGGAUCCGCGCCGCAUUAGCUAGUUGGUAAGGUAACGGCUUACCAAGGCAACGAUGCGUAGCCGACCUGAGAGGGUUAUCGGCCACACUGGAACUGAGACACGGUCCAGACUCCUACGGGAGGCAGCAGUAGGGAAUCUUCCGCAAGGGGCGAAAGCCUGACGGAGCAACGCCGCGUGAGUGAUGAAGGUCUUCGGAUCGUAAAACUCUGUUAUUAGGGAAGAACAAAUGUGUAAGUAACUAUGCACGUCUUGACGGUACCUAAUCAGAAAGCCACGGCUAACUACGUG